AACGAACGCUGGCGGCAGGCCUAACACAUGCAAGUCGAGCGAGGACUUCGGUCCUAGCGGCGGACGGGUGAGUAACGCGUGGGAACGUGCCCUUUGCUUCGGAAUAGCCCUGGGAAACUGGGAGUAAUACCGGAUGAGCCCUUCGGGGGAAAGAUUUAUCGGCGAAGGAUCGGCCCGCGUUGGAUUAGGUAGUUGGUGGGGUAAUGGCCUACCAAGCCGACGAUCCAUAGCUGGUUUGAGAGGAUGAUCAGCCACACUGGGACUGAGACACGGCCCAGACUCCUACGGGAGGCAGCAGUGGGGAAUCUUAGACAAUGGGGGAAACCCUGAUCUAGCCAUGCCGCGUGAGCGAUGAAGGCCUUAGGGUUGUAAAGCUCUUUCAGCUGGGAAGAUAAUGACGGUACCAGCAGAAGAAGCCCCGGCUAACUCCGUG
This 433-nucleotide ribosomal RNA is filed under the name uncultured bacterium. RNAcentral describes it as "partial 16S ribosomal RNA". It matches the Rfam family "Bacterial small subunit ribosomal RNA", at positions 29 to 507 of the family's 1533-position model. The record is from RNAcentral.